This is a small nuclear RNA of Loxodonta africana (African savanna elephant), 106 nucleotides long. The record is from RefSeq and is a predicted model, not a curated record. NCBI's taxonomy places the organism in Eukaryota, Metazoa, Chordata, Mammalia, Proboscidea, Elephantidae.
GUGCUCUCUUCGGCAGCACAUGUACUAAAAUUGGAAAGAUACAGAGAAGAUCAUCAUGGCCUCUGUGCAAGGGUGACAUGCAAAUUCAUGAAGGUUCCAUAUUUUG